GGCUUCUCUCCAUGCUAUCAAGACUAUCUGAAGAGGUUAUAGAAAUCCUUGGCCGGUCUGCACCUCACCUGCCCUCCAGGACACAUGUGAUGUGUGCAUCCAGAUGACCAAAAACAGACCCUUAGGGCUUCGAUAAGGGUUUACAAUAGUUUGAAGUGCUUUCGCUCACAGCUAGGGAACCUUUACAAACCAAGCUAGCAAUUUAACUCCUUGCUCUUCAUGGGACACAUCUUGGCUUGAAGUCAGCAGUAGAGUCAGGAGAAAGUUCCCAAAGAUGUUUGAGCAAUUCAAUUUCAUCCCUGCUCCCAUUGAUUUAGACUUCAGGUUUCGAGGGGAGCCUACUAAAGUAUACAUUAAGGAUAAUUUGCUUAGGCAUAUCUAAUUGUGGUUGUCCGAGUAGAUGAACGCAGAGUCUCUCAGAAGUCCACACCCAUCACAGCAAACAAGUAAGAAGCUCAUAACAGAGAACAUCUACUAUUGCUUUGUUUUAAAACCCCCCAGAUGCCAAACAUCCUUUCUGUUUCUUUCUGUUCUCCUCAAGCUCUGGUGUGUGUGUGUGUGUGUGUGUGUGUGUGUGUGUGUGUGUGUGUGUGUGUGUGUGUUGGGGGGAGGUGAGCAGUCAGGCAGAUUCACAUGUGCAGAGGGAGGGUUCAGAUACCCUGAAGGGGCAGACUCUGGAGGGCUACCACAUUCCAAGUGCUUCUCCAGAAUCACUCAAGUUAUCACCAUCCCAAACUCACUUUGUCAACCUGCAGUAAGAAGUCGCUAAGAAAUUCCACUACAGAUGUUUUCUUUUUUAACUGAAAAAUACAAGAAGAGGAUAAGAUACAGGAUCUGCAUCUUAGUAUAAUAAUUCACUUUGUAUUUAAUGGUUCUACCUUUUUGUAUGGAGUUAUUUGUGCCAAUUUUAAAACCCAUCUUUUAAAAAGAGAGGACUUGGCAAGUUUCUUUGUAUGUGGAUAGGGAUCUGUAUUUCUGUAGCCAAGCAAACCAAACAAACAAUCUAAAAAAAAAAUCAAAGAGGAAUGGCACGAGGGAAAGAGACCCAUCCAGAAAGUGGACCUAUUGAUGUCAUGGAAGGUGGCUGCUGCUUGUAAUCUUUGAAAAAUAACUGAUUCUGCUACUCACCAAGAAGGGCCCAGGACUGUUAAAUGUAGAACUGAGUUUUAGGAAACAGGAAAGCCCACUCUCUUCCCCCUCAUCCCCAUCUCCCUUAGCACCAAUUGGUUGACAAGAGAAGAUCAUUAAGAAGCACUACUGACCUUUGCAUUGAAUAGAUGUGUCCCUCCUCUAAUAGUCUUGAUUUCAACUCAACCAUAGGCCUUCCUUUUCUGUCAACUGGCUUAAUGUUUUACAGAAUAAUACAGAAGUACAAGCUUGCUUGUUUCUCUCCUUUGAGCUGAAACAAGCAAGGCAGCAGAGAGGUGAGUCACCAAAGUGUGAAGCAAGGCCUGCUCUAGUUCCCCUUCCAGAGUUUUUAUGGUUGACCUUUGAGUCUGUAGUCAGUUUUCUUCUCCUCCCCGACCCCUCUCCUU
Molecule: long non-coding RNA, 1535 nt
Filed under: Rattus norvegicus (Norway rat)
Lineage: Eukaryota; Metazoa; Chordata; Mammalia; Rodentia; Muridae
Description: long non-coding RNA NONRATT006973
Source: RNAcentral